UAUACAUUAGGUGGUACGCUAGUUAAAAUGUUGGAUGCUCAGAAAACGCUUUAUUCGUAUUUUGCGACGGGCCAUCAACGUGAUCAACCUAAAGUGCAUGAACAUGCUAAUAAUAAUGAUAGAUCUAAUAUGCCUUCUGCGGAGCAGGCGCAUUGUUCAAUCAGCUUGUUGGAACAUGCCGCUGAAGUGUCAAAAGAUUCGGCUAGAGCUACAACAUGAUCGGGCUAUCCAGACCCGGCACACAUCACAGUCCGUUCUGAAGACUCGCUAAAGUUAGCAUUACUGGAGAAUGACUUGGACUGGACUAAAGCGUAUACAUUUCCAAAUAAUGUCCCAGAGCGGAUUUAGACCAGGGACCAGUCUUCCUAUCCGGUAUUGUCGGAGUACAUGUGUACGAAGUCAACGUGUUGAGGUCUUGUGUGGAUAGUCGACGUGGACAACCCAGUGUGAUCGUCAGUGGCUUGAGAUGGCCGUAGUGAGCUCCAGUGUAGCGGUUUACUGUUGUAUCUUGAACAGUAGGACAGACGUAACUAUUGGAACGAGCGUGACUAGUGACUAUUGAUACUAUUGUAAAUGAAUGUUGAAGACAGAAACGUUCAGAUGUGUAUUUUGCAGCGCUGAGACUUUUCCCUAGAUGAACUGAGAUGUAUUUUAGUUCAUCGAGACAUUUUUGUAUACAUUAUUUUGGGGAUGGGUUUAGUUUUGGUGUAUUAUAGAGUGUGAUGUGUGAUAUUCAUUUGUAUAUAUUUUGUAAUUAAAUUAUUUGAAUAUCACUUAGCCUUAGCAAUAAAAGACUAAUAACACAUGCAA
Long non-coding RNA from Gigantopelta aegis, 810 nucleotides. RefSeq lists it as uncharacterized. The transcript is spliced from 2 exons. The record is from RefSeq and is a predicted model, not a curated record. Lineage: Eukaryota; Metazoa; Mollusca; Gastropoda; Neomphalida; Peltospiridae.